RNAcentral lists this ribosomal RNA (265 nucleotides) under uncultured bacterium. Its description in RNAcentral is "partial 16S ribosomal RNA". It matches the Rfam family "Bacterial small subunit ribosomal RNA", at positions 88 to 354 of the family's 1533-position model. The record is from RNAcentral.
UAUCUUAGUGGCGGACGGGUGAGUAACGCGUGGGUAACCUGCCUUACACUGGGGGAUAACACUUAGAAAUAGGUGCUAAUACCGCAUAACAGAGGGAGUCGCAUGACUUCGUCUUAAAAACUCCGGUGGUGUAAGAUGGACCCGCGUCUGAUUAGCUGGUUGGCGGGGUAGCGGCCCACCAAGGCGACGAUCAGUAGCCGGCCUGAGAGGGUGAACGGCCACAUUGGGACUGAGACACGGCCCAAACUCCUACGGAAGGCAGCAG